RNAcentral lists this ribosomal RNA (987 nucleotides) under Escherichia coli. Its description in RNAcentral is "partial 23S ribosomal RNA". It matches the Rfam family "Bacterial large subunit ribosomal RNA", at positions 167 to 1194 of the family's 2925-position model. The record is from RNAcentral. Lineage: Bacteria; Pseudomonadati; Pseudomonadota; Gammaproteobacteria; Enterobacterales; Enterobacteriaceae.
UAGGUUAAUGAGGCGAACCGGGGGAACUGAAACAUCUAAGUACCCCGAGGAAAAGAAAUCAACCGAGAUUCCCCCAGUAGCGGCGAGCGAACGGGGAGCAGCCCAGAGCCUGAAUCAGUGUGUGUGUUAGUGGAAGCGUCUGGAAAGGCGCGCGAUACAGGGUGACAGCCCCGUACACAAAAAUGCACAUGCUGUGAGCUCGAUGAGUAGGGCGGGACACGUGGUAUCCUGUCUGAAUAUGGGGGGACCAUCCUCCAAGGCUAAAUACUCCUGACUGACCGAUAGUGAACCAGUACCGUGAGGGAAAGGCGAAAAGAACCCCGGCGAGGGGAGUGAAAAAGAACCUGAAACCGUGUACGUACAAGCAGUGGGAGCACGCUUCGGCGUGUGACUGCGUACCUUUUGUAUAAUGGGUCAGCGACUUAUAUUCUGUAGCAAGGUUAACCGAAUAGGGGAGCCGAAGGGAAACCGAGUCUUAACUGGGCGUUAAGUUGCAGGGUAUAGACCCGAAACCCGGUGAUCUAGCCAUGGGCAGGUUGAAGGUUGGGUAACACUAACUGGAGGACCGAACCGACUAAUGUUGAAAAAUUAGCGGAUGACUUGUGGCUGGGGGUGAAAGGCCAAUCAAACCGGGAGAUAGCUGGUUCUCCCCGAAAGCUAUUUAGGUAGCGCCUCGUGAAUUCAUCUCCGGGGGUAGAGCACUGUUUCGGCAAGGGGGUCAUCCCGACUUACCAACCCGAUGCAAACUGCGAAUACCGGAGAAUGUUAUCACGGGAGACACACGGCGGGUGCUAACGUCCGUCGUGAAGAGGGAAACAACCCAGACCGCCAGCUAAGGUCCCAAAGUCAUGGUUAAGUGGGAAACGAUGUGGGAAGGCCCAGACAGCCAGGAUGUUGGCUUAGAAGCAGCCAUCAUUUAAAGAAAGCGUAAUAGCUCACUGGUCGAGUCGGCCUGCGCGGAAGAUGUAACGGGGCUAAACCAUGCAC